CGAUGAUACGCGAGGAACCUUACCUGGGCUUAAAUGUAGAGUGCAUUUCUAGAGAUAGGAAUUCCCUUCGGGGCUUUCUGCAAGGUGCUGCAUGGCUGUCGUCAGCUCGUGUCGUGAGAUGUUGGGUUAAGUCCCGCAACGAGCGCAACCCUUGUCUUUAAUUGCCAUCAUUCAGUUGGGCACUUUAAAGAGACUGCCGGUGUUAAACCGGAGGAAGGUGAGGAUGACGUCAAGUCCUCAUGGCCUUUAUGCCCAGGGCUACACACGUGCUACAAUGGGUGGUACAAAGAGAUGCAAUCUCGCAAGAGCAAGCAAACCUCAAAAAGCCAUCCUCAGUUCGGAUUGGAGUCUGCAACUCGACUCCAUGAAGUCGGAAUCGCUAGUAGUCGCGGAUCAGCACGCCGCGGUGAAUACGUUCCCGGGCCUU
RNAcentral lists this ribosomal RNA (427 nucleotides) under uncultured Syntrophus sp. Its description in RNAcentral is "bacterial SSU rRNA". It matches the Rfam family "Bacterial small subunit ribosomal RNA", at positions 952 to 1382 of the family's 1533-position model. The record is from RNAcentral. Lineage: Bacteria; Pseudomonadati; Thermodesulfobacteriota; Syntrophia; Syntrophales; Syntrophaceae.